This 375-nucleotide ribosomal RNA is filed under the name uncultured organism. RNAcentral's name for it is "partial 16S ribosomal RNA". It matches the Rfam family "Bacterial small subunit ribosomal RNA", at positions 527 to 896 of the family's 1533-position model. The record is from RNAcentral.
GUAGGUGGCAAGCGUUGUCCGGAAUUAUUGGGCGUAAAGCGCGCGCAGGCGGGGUCCUUUAAGUCUGAUGUGAAAGCCCACGGGCUCAACCGUGGAGGGUCAUUGGAAACUGGGGGACUUGAGUACAGAAGAGGAAAGCGGAAUUCCAAGUGUAGCGGUGAAAUGCGUAGAGAUUUGGAGGAACACCAGUGGCGAAGGCGGCUUUCUGGUCUGUAACUGACGCUGAGGCGCGAAAGCGUGGGGCGCAAACAGGAUUAGAUACCCUGGUAGUCCACGCCGUAAACGAUGAGUGCUAAGUGUUAGGGGGUUUCCGCCCCUUAGUGCUGCAGCUAACGCAUUAAGCACUCCGCCUGGGGAGUACGGCCGCAAAGGCUG